RNAcentral lists this ribosomal RNA (264 nucleotides) under uncultured bacterium. RNAcentral describes it as "partial 16S ribosomal RNA". It matches the Rfam family "Bacterial small subunit ribosomal RNA", at positions 72 to 339 of the family's 1533-position model. The record is from RNAcentral.
UUAAGAGCUUGCUCUUAUGAUUAGUGGCGCACGGGUGAGUAAUAUAUAGAUAACGUACCUCUUAGUCUGGGAUAGCCAUUGGAAACGAUGAUUAAUACUGGAUACUCCUUCUAAGCUUAUGCUUGGUCGGGAAAGUUUUUCGCUAAGAGAUCGGUCUAUAUUCCAUCAGCUAGUUGGGGAGGUAAUGGCUCACCAAGGCAAUGACGGAUAGCGGGUUUGAGAGGAUGAUCCGCCACACUGGUACUGAGACACGGACCAGACUCC